GAGUGGUGAUAGGUGUGUUUUUUCGUUGGGCUCCCUGCUUUGUUGCAGCCAACCAACGAUAGAUCACCAUUUUGGUACUUGAAGCUUGAGACUUGAUAUGUGCUUUGUUGCCUUCUAAGGAAAUUAAAAUGGAAUGGUACAUAUCUUAUCUAUUGUUUUGUCCCUCACCGUUCCCUGUGGUGAUGCGAGGGACGACCAUUGGAGGUACCUUCUUCGACGUUGGUUGACGAUGUUAUUAUUCGUUAGCGAAUUUCGGUCGUUGAGUGGAUCCGAUGUUUUUUGGAUGUGGUGUAUUUAUUGAGAUUUCAAGGUGGGUGCCUUGUUUGAAUACAAAAGUCGUAUCCCGGUUUGUUCGCACUUUGUGAAAAGACAUCGCACGAUUGUGUCGUCGUCUCUUUUAAUUAAGAGUGUUCGUCAUAUUGUCGGUGCCUUUAAGAACGUGCUACCUGGUUGAUCCUGCCAAGUAAGUCAAAUGCUUGUCUCAAAGA
RNAcentral lists this unclassified non-coding RNA (488 nucleotides) under Allium heteronema. Its description in RNAcentral is "partial external transcribed spacer". Lineage: Eukaryota; Viridiplantae; Streptophyta; Magnoliopsida; Asparagales; Amaryllidaceae. The record is from RNAcentral.